UACGGGGGGGGCAAGCGUUGUUCGGAAUUACUGGGCGUAAAGGGCUCGUAGGCGGCCAACUAAGCCAGACGUGAAAUCCCCAGGCUCAACCUGGGAACUGCGUCUGAUACUGGAUGGCUUGAAUCCGGGAGAGGGAUGCAGAAUUCCAGGUGUAGCGGUGAAAUGCGUAGAUAUCUGGAGGAAUACCGGUGGCGAAGGCGGCAUCCUGGACCGGCAUUGACGCUGAGGAGCGAAAGCUAGGGGAGCAAACGGG
Molecule: ribosomal RNA, 253 nt
Filed under: uncultured bacterium
Lineage: Bacteria
Description: partial 16S ribosomal RNA
Rfam family: Bacterial small subunit ribosomal RNA
Source: RNAcentral